AUAGUAGAUUUUAUGCUAAGAUCUUAAUGUAAAUUACUUAUUUCAGUAACAUCUGAAUAAUUACUUUUUAAAUUUUUUUUUUUGUUAUUCACCCAAUACUUGUGGAU
RNAcentral lists this small nuclear RNA (107 nucleotides) under Guillardia theta. RNAcentral describes it as "U2". The record is from RNAcentral. Lineage: Eukaryota; Cryptophyceae; Pyrenomonadales; Geminigeraceae.